This 2926-nucleotide ribosomal RNA is filed under the name Klebsiella aerogenes. RNAcentral describes it as "bacterial LSU rRNA". It matches the Rfam family "Bacterial large subunit ribosomal RNA". The record is from RNAcentral. Lineage: Bacteria; Pseudomonadati; Pseudomonadota; Gammaproteobacteria; Enterobacterales; Enterobacteriaceae.
GGGUUGUGAGGUUAAGCGACUAAGCGUACACGGUGGAUGCCCUGGCAGUCAGAGGCGAUGAAGGACGUGCUAAUCUGCGAAAAGCGUCGGUAAGGUGAUAUGAACCGUUACAGCCGGCGAUGUCCGAAUGGGGAAACCCAGUGUGAUUCGUCACACUAUCGUUAACUGAAUACAUAGGUUAACGAGGCGAACCGGGGGAACUGAAACAUCUAAGUACCCCGAGGAAAAGAAAUCAACCGAGAUUCCCCCAGUAGCGGCGAGCGAACGGGGAGCAGCCCAGAGUCUGAAUCAGCUUGUGUGUUAGUGGAACGGUCUGGAAAGUCCGACGGUACAGGGUGAUAGUCCCGUACACCAAAAUGCACAGGCUGUGAACUCGAAGAGUAGGGCGGGACACGUGGUAUCCUGUCUGAAUAUGGGGGGACCAUCCUCCAAGGCUAAAUACUCCUGACUGACCGAUAGUGAACCAGUACCGUGAGGGAAAGGCGAAAAGAACCCCGGCGAGGGGAGUGAAAAAGAACCUGAAACCGUGUACGUACAAGCAGUGGGAGCACCUUCGGGUGUGACUGCGUACCUUUUGUAUAAUGGGUCAGCGACUUAUAUUCUGUAGCAAGGUUAACCGUAUAGGGGAGCCGCAGGGAAACCGAGUCUUAACUGGGCGUUAAGUUGCAGGGUAUAGACCCGAAACCCGGUGAUCUAGCCAUGGGCAGGUUGAAGGUUGGGUAACACUAACUGGAGGACCGAACCGACUAAUGUUGAAAAAUUAGCGGAUGACUUGUGGCUGGGGGUGAAAGGCCAAUCAAACCGGGAGAUAGCUGGUUCUCCCCGAAAGCUAUUUAGGUAGCGCCUCGUGAAUUCAUCUUCGGGGGUAGAGCACUGUUUCGGCUAGGGGGUCAUCCCGACUUACCAACCCGAUGCAAACUACGAAUACCGAAGAAUGUUAUCACGGGAGACACACGGCGGGUGCUAACGUCCGUCGUGAAGAGGGAAACAACCCAGACCGCCAGCUAAGGUCCCAAAGUCACAGUUAAGUGGGAAACGAUGUGGGAAGGCACAGACAGCCAGGAUGUUGGCUUAGAAGCAGCCAUCAUUUAAAGAAAGCGUAAUAGCUCACUGGUCGAGUCGGCCUGCGCGGAAGAUGUAACGGGGCUAAACUGUGCACCGAAGCUGCGGCAGCGACACUAUGUGUUGUUGGGUAGGGGAGCGUUCUGUAAGCCUGCGAAGGUGGCCUGUGAGGGUUGCUGGAGGUAUCAGAAGUGCGAAUGCUGACAUAAGUAACGAUAAUGCGGGUGAAAAGCCCGCACGCCGGAAGACCAAGGGUUCCUGUCCAACGUUAAUCGGGGCAGGGUGAGUCGACCCCUAAGGCGAGGCCGAAAGGCGUAGUCGAUGGGAAACAGGUUAAUAUUCCUGUACUUGGUGUUACUGCGAAGGGGGGACGGAGAAGGCUAUGUUAGCCGGGCGACGGUUGUCCCGGUUUAAGCAUGUAGGCGGAGGUUCCAGGUAAAUCCGGUACCUUUUUAACGCUGAGGUGUGAUGACGAGGCACUACGGUGCUGAAGUAACAAAUGCCCUGCUUCCAGGAAAAGCCUCUAAGCAUCAGGUAACAUUAAAUCGUACCCCAAACCGACACAGGUGGUCAGGUAGAGAAUACCAAGGCGCUUGAGAGAACUCGGGUGAAGGAACUAGGCAAAAUGGUGCCGUAACUUCGGGAGAAGGCACGCUGAUAUGUAGGUGAAGCCCCUGCGGGUGGAGCUGAAAUCAGUCGAAGAUACCAGCUGGCUGCAACUGUUUAUUAAAAACACAGCACUGUGCAAACACGAAAGUGGACGUAUACGGUGUGACGCCUGCCCGGUGCCGGAAGGUUAAUUGAUGGGGUUAUCCGUAAGGAGAAGCUCUUGAUCGAAGCCCCGGUAAACGGCGGCCGUAACUAUAACGGUCCUAAGGUAGCGAAAUUCCUUGUCGGGUUAGUUCCGACCUGCACGAAUGGCGUAAUGAUGGCCAGGCUGUCUCCACCCGAGACUCAGUGAAAUUGAACUCGCUGUGAAGAUGCAGUGUACCCGCGGCAAGACGGAAAGACCCCGUGAACCUUUACUAUAGCUUGACACUGAACAUUGAGCCUUGAUGUGUAGGAUAGGUGGGAGGCUUUGAAGCGUGGACGCCAGUCUGCGUGGAGCCAACCUUGAAAUACCACCCUUUAAUGUUUGAUGUUCUAACGUUGGCCCCUUAUCGGGGUUGCGGACAGUGUCUGGUGGGUAGUUUGACUGGGGCGGUCUCCUCCCAAAGAGUAACGGAGGAGCACGAAGGUUAGCUAAUCCUGGUCGGACAUCAGGAGGUUAGUGCAAUGGCAUAAGCUAGCUUGACUGCGAGCGUGACGGCGCGAGCAGGUGCGAAAGCAGGUCAUAGUGAUCCGGUGGUUCUGAAUGGAAGGGCCAUCGCUCAACGGAUAAAAGGUACUCCGGGGAUAACAGGCUGAUACCGCCCAAGAGUUCAUAUCGACGGCGGUGUUUGGCACCUCGAUGUCGGCUCAUCACAUCCUGGGGCUGAAGUAGGUCCCAAGGGUAUGGCUGUUCGCCAUUUAAAGUGGUACGCGAGCUGGGUUUAGAACGUCGUGAGACAGUUCGGUCCCUAUCUGCCGUGGGCGCUGGAGAAUUGAGGGGGGCUGCUCCUAGUACGAGAGGACCGGAGUGGACGCAUCACUGGUGUUCGGGUUGUCAUGCCAAUGGCAUUGCCCGGUAGCUAAAUGCGGAAGAGAUAAGUGCUGAAAGCAUCUAAGCACGAAACUUGCCCCGAGAUGAGUUCUCCCUGAGACUUUAAGUCUCCUGAAGGAACGUUAAAGACGAUGACGUUGAUAGGUCGGGUGUGUAAGCGUAGCGAUACGUUGAGCUAACCGAUACUAAUGAACCGUGAGGCUUAACCUUACAACGCCGAAG